RNAcentral lists this ribosomal RNA (2739 nucleotides) under Staphylococcus aureus. RNAcentral's name for it is "bacterial LSU rRNA". It matches the Rfam family "Bacterial large subunit ribosomal RNA". Lineage: Bacteria; Bacillati; Bacillota; Bacilli; Caryophanales; Staphylococcaceae. The record is from RNAcentral.
ACCCGGAGAACUGAAACAUCUUAGUAACCGGAGGAAGAGAAAGAAAAUUCGAUUCCCUUAGUAGCGGCGAGCGAAACGGGAAGAGCCCAAACCAACAAGCUUGCUUGUUGGGGUUGUAGGACACUCUAUACGGAGUUACAAAGGACGACAUUAGACGAAUCAUCUGGAAAGAUGAAUCAAAGAAGGUAAUAAUCCUGUAGUCGAAAAUGUUGUCUCUCUUGAGUGGAUCCUGAGUACGACGGAGCACGUGAAAUUCCGUCGGAAUCUGGGAGGACCAUCUCCUAAGGCUAAAUACUCUCUAGUGACCGAUAGUGAACCAGUACCGUGAGGGAAAGGUGAAAAGCACCCCGGAAGGGGAGUGAAAUAGAACCUGAAACCGUGUGCUUACAAGUAGUCAGAGCCCGUUAAUGGGUGAUGGCGUGCCUUUUGUAGAAUGAACCGGCGAGUUACGAUUUGAUGCAAGGUUAAGCAGUAAAUGUGGAGCCGUAGCGAAAGCGAGUCUGAAUAGGGCGUUUAGUAUUUGGUCGUAGACCCGAAACCAGGUGAUCUACCCUUGGUCAGGUUGAAGUUCAGGUAACACUGAAUGGAGGACCGAACCGACUUACGUUGAAAAGUGAGCGGAUGAACUGAGGGUAGCGGAGAAAUUCCAAUCGAACCUGGAGAUAGCUGGUUCUCUCCGAAAUAGCUUUAGGGCUAGCCUCAAGUGAUGAUUAUUGGAGGUAGAGCACUGUUUGGACGAGGGGCCCCUCUCGGGUUACCGAAUUCAGACAAACUCCGAAUGCCAAUUAAUUUAACUUGGGAGUCAGAACAUGGGUGAUAAGGUCCGUGUUCGAAAGGGAAACAGCCCAGACCACCAGCUAAGGUCCCAAAAUAUAUGUUAAGUGGAAAAGGAUGUGGCGUUGCCCAGACAACUAGGAUGUUGGCUUAGAAGCAGCCAUCAUUUAAAGAGUGCGUAAUAGCUCACUAGUCGAGUGACACUGCGCCGAAAAUGUACCGGGGCUAAACAUAUUACCGAAGCUGUGGAUUGUCCUUUGGACAAUGGUAGGAGAGCGUUCUAAGGGCGUUGAAGCAUGAUCGUAAGGACAUGUGGAGCGCUUAGAAGUGAGAAUGCCGGUGUGAGUAGCGAAAGACGGGUGAGAAUCCCGUCCACCGAUUGACUAAGGUUUCCAGAGGAAGGCUCGUCCGCUCUGGGUUAGUCGGGUCCUAAGCUGAGGCCGACAGGCGUAGGCGAUGGAUAACAGGUUGAUAUUCCUGUACCACCUAUAAUCGUUUUAAUCGAUGGGGGGACGCAGUAGGAUAGGCGAAGCGUGCGAUUGGAUUGCACGUCUAAGCAGUAAGGCUGAGUAUUAGGCAAAUCCGGUACUCGUUAAGGCUGAGCUGUGAUGGGGAGAAGACAUUGUGUCUUCGAGUCGUUGAUUUCACACUGCCGAGAAAAGCCUCUAGAUAGAAAAUAGGUGCCCGUACCGCAAACCGACACAGGUAGUCAAGAUGAGAAUUCUAAGGUGAGCGAGCGAACUCUCGUUAAGGAACUCGGCAAAAUGACCCCGUAACUUCGGGAGAAGGGGUGCUCUUUAGGGUUAACGCCCAGAAGAGCCGCAGUGAAUAGGCCCAAGCGACUGUUUAUCAAAAACACAGGUCUCUGCUAAACCGUAAGGUGAUGUAUAGGGGCUGACGCCUGCCCGGUGCUGGAAGGUUAAGAGGAGUGGUUAGCUUCUGCGAAGCUACGAAUCGAAGCCCCAGUAAACGGCGGCCGUAACUAUAACGGUCCUAAGGUAGCGAAAUUCCUUGUCGGGUAAGUUCCGACCCGCACGAAAGGCGUAACGAUUUGGGCACUGUCUCAACGAGAGACUCGGUGAAAUCAUAGUACCUGUGAAGAUGCAGGUUACCCGCGACAGGACGGAAAGACCCCGUGGAGCUUUACUGUAGCCUGAUAUUGAAAUUCGGCACAGCUUGUACAGGAUAGGUAGGAGCCUUUGAAACGUGAGCGCUAGCUUACGUGGAGGCGCUGGUGGGAUACUACCCUAGCUGUGUUGGCUUUCUAACCCGCACCACUUAUCGUGGUGGGAGACAGUGUCAGGCGGGCAGUUUGACUGGGGCGGUCGCCUCCUAAAAGGUAACGGAGGCGCUCAAAGGUUCCCUCAGAAUGGUUGGAAAUCAUUCAUAGAGUGUAAAGGCAUAAGGGAGCUUGACUGCGAGACCUACAAGUCGAGCAGGGUCGAAAGACGGACUUAGUGAUCCGGUGGUUCCGCAUGGAAGGGCCAUCGCUCAACGGAUAAAAGCUACCCCGGGGAUAACAGGCUUAUCUCCCCCAAGAGUUCACAUCGACGGGGAGGUUUGGCACCUCGAUGUCGGCUCAUCGCAUCCUGGGGCUGUAGUCGGUCCCAAGGGUUGGGCUGUUCGCCCAUUAAAGCGGUACGCGAGCUGGGUUCAGAACGUCGUGAGACAGUUCGGUCCCUAUCCGUCGUGGGCGUAGGAAAUUUGAGAGGAGCUGUCCUUAGUACGAGAGGACCGGGAUGGACAUACCUCUGGUGUACCAGUUGUCGUGCCAACGGCAUAGCUGGGUAGCUAUGUGUGGACGGGAUAAGUGCUGAAAGCAUCUAAGCAUGAAGCCCCCCUCAAGAUGAGAUUUCCCAACUUCGGUUAUAAGAUCCCUCAAAGAUGAUGAGGUUAAUAGGUUCGAGGUGGAAGCAUGGUGACAUGUGGAGCUGACGAAUACUAAUCGAUCGAAGACUUAAUCAA